This 443-nucleotide ribosomal RNA is filed under the name uncultured bacterium. RNAcentral describes it as "partial 16S ribosomal RNA". It matches the Rfam family "Bacterial small subunit ribosomal RNA", at positions 338 to 795 of the family's 1533-position model. The record is from RNAcentral.
CCUACGGGGGGCAGCAGUGGGGAAUAUUGGGCAAUGGGCGCAAGCCUGACCCAGCAACGCCGCGUGAAGGAAGACGGCUUUCGGGUUGUAAACUUCUUUUCUCAGGGACGAAGCAAGUGACGGUACCUGAGGAAUAAGCCACGGCUAACUACGUGCCAGCAGCCGCGGUAAUACGUAGGUGGCAAGCGUUAUCCGGAUUUACUGGGUGUAAAGGGCGUGUAGGCGGGACUGCAAGUCAGAUGUGAAAACCAUGGGCUCAACCUAUGGCCUGCAUUUGAAACUGUAGUUCUUGAGUGCUGGAGAGGCAGACGGAAUGCCUAGUGUAGCGGUGAAAUGCGUAGAUAUUAGGAAGAACACCAGUGGCGAAGGCGGUCUGCUGGACAGCAACUGACGCUGAGGCGCGAAAGCGUGGGUAGCAAACAGGAUUAGAUACCCGUGUAGUC